UACGUAGGGGGCAAGCGUUGUCCGGAUUUAUUGGGCGUAAAGAGCUCGUAGGUGGUUCGGUAAGUCGGAUGUGAAAUCUCCAGGCUCAACCUGGAGGGGUCAUUCGAUACUGCCGUGACUAGAGGUCGGUAGGGGAGUGUGGAAUUCCUGGUGGAGCGGUGAAAUGCGCAGAUAUCAGGAGGAACACCGGUGGCGAAGGCGGGUCUCUGGGCCGAUAUUGACGCUGAGGAGCGAAAGCGUGGGGAGCGAACAGG
Molecule: ribosomal RNA, 254 nt
Filed under: uncultured bacterium
Lineage: Bacteria
Description: partial 16S ribosomal RNA
Rfam family: Bacterial small subunit ribosomal RNA
Source: RNAcentral